This is a long non-coding RNA of Meriones unguiculatus (Mongolian gerbil), 1130 nucleotides long. RefSeq lists it as uncharacterized. The record is from RefSeq and is a predicted model, not a curated record. NCBI's taxonomy places the organism in Eukaryota, Metazoa, Chordata, Mammalia, Rodentia, Muridae. The transcript has 3 exons.
GCAGAGACUCAGGACAGGACCAAUUACGUUUUGCUAUGAGGUCAUCGCGGAGGCUUCGGAUUGGUGUUUGUGUGGUAACUGGCCUCCCUGGGUAGACUCGCGUUGAUGGAGACACUGAGUCUGGGCACGGCUCGCCCGCGGGUGUCCUAGAGCUUUCCCAACUCCAGGUCCUUGCAGGUCUCCUGGGAACCUUCCGAAAUGGGCAGCAGAGCGGUGGGGGCGAGCGGCCCUCCCUGCCGCGGCCGGCCCAUCGCUCCAGCCGGGAGCCUGCCCCUCCCUCGCGGCCGUCUUCCUCCCAAGGCUGUGACUGCCGCCACCCCUGCCCACACUGCACGGCCAAGGUGACUGCCAGGCACACCAUCGUCACGUGACCUGCCUGGCGGGCCUCGGGUGCCCAGCUUGAAGCCGAAGGUGAAGGCUUGGUGCCAAAGCACAACAAAAGUUACCGAGAGCCCUGAACAUCUUUCUUUCCCUCAGGGCAACAAGAUUCGAUCCCGGACCUCAUCCGCCUAGGCCUGAGCCAGAAUACCCUUCUCACUCAGGUCUUCCUACUCAUCCAGCAAUGAGGAUGACCUUGAACUCUUGACUGUCUCGACUCUACCUUCUAAGUCUUUUACAGUCUCUGCAGGUACUCACAUGUACACACAUGUACACACACAGACACAGUAAAACAAAGUAAAAAUACCAGACUCAUUGUCACAGGCCGGCAAUCCUAGCACUCCAGAGGUGGAGUCAAGAGAAUGGGAAGUUCAGGGACUCCUGUGAGGACAUAAUUAAUGAAUUUGAGGCCAGUCUGGGCUACAUGAAAUUCUGUCUCAAACUAUAACAACACAAGAUAUGCGGUUAUACUGUGCUGGUUAAGUUUUUGGUGCCUCGACACAAGCUGGAGUCAAGUCAUCUGGAGAGAGGGAACUUCAGUAGAGAAAACACCUCCAUCAGAGUGGCCUGAAGUGAAUCACCUGUAGCAGGCUGACCUUGAACUUGACUCAAGUCAGGCUCAGAUUCUCACCCUCCUGCUGCUGCCUGUGAUCAAGAUAUAAAACUCUCUUCUCUGCUCCUUCUCCAGCACCAUGUCUGGCCACACUCCGCCAUGCUUCCUGUCAGGAUGAUAAACCUCUGAACCUGUGAGC